RNAcentral lists this small RNA (291 nucleotides) under Arabidopsis thaliana (thale cress). RNAcentral's name for it is "ATSL202460". The record is from RNAcentral. Lineage: Eukaryota; Viridiplantae; Streptophyta; Magnoliopsida; Brassicales; Brassicaceae.
CAUUUUCAUGCUUAUAUCUAAAAAACAAAAGCAGAAAUUUCAGCUCUACACGUUAAUAAGUUGAUAGGUUUCUUUAAAAGGAUUUCACUUUAAAUUUCUAAGUGCAGAAUUUCAAGACAAAAAUAAGUCACACGUCAAAACUUACUACUUACUAGUUACUAGUAAUCUCUUUUGCAAAAAAACUAGCAGAGAGCUUUGUUGUCAAGCGUGACUUCAAGGUUUUCUUUCAUCCCAAACAUCUAGUUGUCAAUCCACAAAAACAUUGAAAUAUAGAAAACUUUUUAACUUUUA